UGGGAGAUCGUCUAGCGGUAGGACUCCGCUCUCUGAAAGCGGCAACCAUGGUUCGAAUCCAUGUCUCCCAG
This 71-nucleotide transfer RNA is filed under the name bacterium. RNAcentral's name for it is "tRNA-Gln". It matches the Rfam family "tRNA". From Rfam's summary of the family: Transfer RNA (tRNA) molecules are approximately 80 nucleotides in length. Their secondary structure includes four short double-helical elements and three loops (D, anti-codon, and T loops). RNAcentral also lists the same sequence under 1 other name. The record is from RNAcentral.